AGCGAACGCUGGCGGCAGGCCUAACACAUGCAAGUCGAACGAACCUUUCGGGGUUAGUGGCGGACGGGUGAGUAACACGUGGGAACGUGCCUUUAGGUUCGGAAUAACUCAGGGAAACUUGUGCUAAUACCGAAUGUGCCCUUCGGGGGAAAGAUUAAUCGCCUUUAGAGCGGCCCGCGUCUGAUUAGCUAGUUGGUUGAGGUAAUGGCUCACCAAGGCGACGAUCAGUAGCUGGUCUGAGAGGAUGAUAGCCACAUUGGGACUGAGACACGGCCCAAACUCCUACGGGAGGCAGCAGUGGGGAAUCUUGCGCAAUGUGCGAAAGCCUGACGCAGCCAUGCCGCGUGAAUGAUGAAGGUCUUAGGAUUGUAAAAUUCUUUCACCGGGGACGAUAAUGACGGUACCCGGAGAAGAAGCCCCGGCUAACUUCGUG
This 433-nucleotide ribosomal RNA is filed under the name uncultured bacterium. Its description in RNAcentral is "partial 16S ribosomal RNA". It matches the Rfam family "Bacterial small subunit ribosomal RNA", at positions 29 to 507 of the family's 1533-position model. The record is from RNAcentral.